RNAcentral lists this long non-coding RNA (3144 nucleotides) under Medicago truncatula (barrel medic). Its description in RNAcentral is "long non-coding RNA (MTRU_LNC005473)". The record is from RNAcentral. Lineage: Eukaryota; Viridiplantae; Streptophyta; Magnoliopsida; Fabales; Fabaceae.
GCGUGGUGAUUGGAGAAAUCAAAUAGAGCUAUAGAUAUAUGGCAGAGCUUUUUGUGAAUCAGGGAAAGGAAUACGCAGAUGCAAGGCCAAGUUAUCCACCACAACUCUUUCAAUUCAUAGCUUCUAAAACUCCCUCUCACAACCUUGUUUGGGAUGUUGCUACUGGAAGUGGCCAAGCCGCCAAAUCUGUAAGUUCUCUCUCUUCCUUAUCUUUCUAUAUCUUAUACGAGUAUUUAUCUUAAAAAAUGACUCAUCCAUCCAUUAUUAGACAAAAUGCGACAUCAACACCAUCCAUAUGUAUAUACAAUUUCCAAUUUCAUCAUCAUGUAGUUGAGUUAGGUGUUUAGCUUGAUAUACUCUAAUGCGUUGUUUCAAUUUUUUCCAAUAAACCAGACACUUUUGGGCUUCUCCGGAUACACCUAAUGUAAUGCAUAGUGACAUUGAAUUUAAUCUUCAUGCUAGCUAGCUUCGUCAUAGUUAAAUGAAUGUUUCUUAUAAUUUGUCAAAUUUCACACACGCGCAUACACAUAAUACAAUUCUUUUCAAAAAAAUCACUUUUACUCAAAGAAAAACUAUUUCAUGAUUUCAGUUAGCUGCAUUGUACAAGAAUGUCAUUGCUACAGAUGUUAGUGAACAACAACUUGAAUUUGCAACCAAGCUCCCUAAUGUGCAAUACAAACACACCCCUUCAACAAUGUCCAUUCCCGAGCUUGAACAAAUUGUAACACCACAAGGAACCAUAGACCUUGUGACUAUUGCUCAAGGCCUUCAUUGGUUUGACCUCCCAAAUUUCUAUCAACAAGUCAAAUGGGUACUCAAGAAACCUCAUGGAGUCAUUGCUGCUUGGUGUUACUUUUUGCCAAGAAUUAGUGAUGAAGUAGACACUGUCUUUGAUCAAUUCUAUUAUACUGAUUCACAACCUUACUGGGAUUCCGCACGUAAAUUGGUUGAGAAAAACUAUAGAAGCAUUGAUUUUCCAUUUCAGGCAGUGGAUGGAGUUGAUCAUACAGGACCAUUUGAGUUUGUGACAGAAACAUUCAUGAGUUUUGAUGGUUUGUUAACAUAUAUAAAAUCAUGGUCAGCUUAUCAGACAGCAAAGAAGAAGGGUGUGGAGCUUCUUGGUGAGGACGUAGUUGAAAAAUUUAAGCUUGCUUGGGGUGAAGAUGGCCACAAAACUGCCAAGUUUCCAGUUUAUCUGAGAAUUGGAAGAGUUGGAAAUGUCUGAAUAUGUGGAAGUCCAGCUAGUUCUUACUUUGAAGGUGCAACAUCAAAAUAAAAGAAAGAUGCAGUGUUAUUGUGUCAGACUCAACCUCCAAAAUGAACAAGCAAGAAUUUCUUAUGUUGCAUUGCUCAGUUGCUCAUGUUUAUUCACUUGUUAGAAAUAAAAUCUCAUGAUUGUUUGCUGAUAUAAAUUGUAUUUUCGCAAACAAUUUAGUUCCUGUAUUAGAUUUUAAUCCUUAAAUUGUAUUUUCUUACUCAAACACAUGAACCAGAACUACCAUUAAAGCACCUGUAUCACUUCAAUCUUAUUAGACCAUAUGGAAUUUGCGUUGAAAGAAACUUGAUAGCACUUUCUUAUGAAUACAUGAUGAGUUGAUCACUUUAUAAAUAUUUUGUUUCAUAGAAGAAAAAACUUAGGAUAUAAAAAGCUCCGUGAGAUUUCAAUUCCAAUGUUGUUGGUUUUGAUUUGACACAGUUUUGUAACAUAGUAAAUACUCAAAUGAUGGGGGAGGUUAUAUGCAACAUAGAUUUCAAUCUCAAAAUUGUUGAUUUUGUUGGAUUAUAUGAAGAGAAAUACAGAAGCCAAAAGUGAUGUGGAAAGCGAGGAAUGAUAAGGUUUUUAAUAACCGAAAUCCGUAUGUGGGUGAAAUGGUGGAUGAUGUCAAGGUUUUGUCUUGGAGAUGGGCUUUGGAUAGAAUCUCUAUGCCACCGUGUAUGUAUUACGAAUGGUGUUGGAACCCAAGGGAGUGUAUUUUGCGCUUGGUUUGAGUUGCGUAAAUUCUGAUCUUCUGUUGGGGCAUGGGGUUUUUUUGGUUGGUGCAGACAUUCUGCUGGGUUUAGUCUGGUGUUCUGUUACUUUUGGGGCGGCUAUCAGGUCUUAACAGCACCUGCUGUUUUUUUCCUGUGCUGUUGAAGCUGCGCAGCUGCUAUGCUGUAACAGCAUUGCCUGCUGUUUCGGCCCGGUUGUGGUUUAGGGCGUUUAGGUAGCCUUUUGGAUUAUCUGUUUUUGUUUUUGGGUCAGUUAGGUGACUAGUUGUAACUAUGGUUUUGUAAUUCGGGACGGUUUUACCAGAUUACAGGCUCAUAACUUGCUAUUUUCAUAACCUUAGGAUCCUUGGAGGAGUUGUUGCUUUUGUGGUUGUAUAGGGUGUGGGUGUUCCGUCUAUAUGCGGCACCUAUUGUUUCUUUGUGCCGUCCAUACUUUGCGUCUUACGGGGAUGGCGUUAAUAAAUUUGCCAUUUAAAAAAACUAAAAAUGGCCAAAAGUGAUAAAUUUGAGAUGAUAUAAUAGGCUGGUUUAAAUAUGUCUCAAUGUUGAUGGCUGUGAGUUUCAUGUGUUUUUUAGGAAGAAGAUAUAUUUAAUCAAGAAUUUAGAUUAUAGGGACUAAAUUGUAUUUUUUUUUCAAUUAUUAAAAUGAACUAAAUUGAAGUAAGACAGAGGGAGUUAACAGAAAGAAAAGUUGACCUGUGACCAAAACUAUUCCCUCCGUGAUUUAUAAAUAUUGCAGUGCAACGUAGUGAUUGGAGAAAUCAAAGAGUUAUAGAGAUGGCAGAGCUUUUUGUGAAUCAGGGAAAGGAAUACGCAGAUGCAAGGCCAAGUUAUCCACCACAACUCUUUCAAUUCAUAGCUUCUAAAACUCCCUCUCACAACCUUGUUUGGGAUGUUGCUACUGGAAGUGGCCAAGCCGCCAAAUCUGUAAGUUCUCUCUCUUCUCCCUCUCCUUACCUCUUCCUAAAAUCUUACUGUAUCUUAUAUUCUCAAAACAAUUUUUUUUUUUUAUCUUAUCCUUGAAUAAUUAUGAGAAAUUUAAAAGACUAAUAUCUCAAAUUCGUCCUUGAAUUUUGAAAAAUCGGCUAAUUUCGUCCCUGAAUUUUGCGAAAUAUCAAAUUAGUCCCUGAAUUUACAAAAUGUCAAUCAAAUCAG